GAUGAACGCUGGCGGCGUGCUUAACACAUGCAAGUCGAACGGACUUUUAUUGAAGCCUAGCGAUAUAAAAGUUAGUGGCGGACGGGUGAGUAACGCGUGAAUAACCUGCCUUAUACUGGGGGACAACAGUUGGAAACGACUGCUAAUACCGCAUAAGCGCACGGGACCGCAUGGUCUAGUGUGAAAAACUCCGGUGGUAUAAGAUGGAUUCGCGUCUGAUUAGCUAGUUGGUGAGGUAACGGCUCACCAAGGCGACGAUACAUAGGGGGACUGAGAGGUUAACCCCCCCACAUUGGUACUGAGACACGGACCAAACUCCUACGGGAGGCAGCAGUGAGGAAUAUUGGCAAUGGACGCAAGUCUGACCCAGCGACGCCGCGUGCGGGAAGAAGGUCUUCGGAUUGUAAACCGCUGUAGACAGGGACGAACAAAUGACGGUACCUGUAAAGUAAGCCACGGCUAACUACGUG
This 470-nucleotide ribosomal RNA is filed under the name uncultured bacterium. RNAcentral's name for it is "bacterial SSU rRNA". It matches the Rfam family "Bacterial small subunit ribosomal RNA", at positions 28 to 507 of the family's 1533-position model. The record is from RNAcentral.